CCAACGGCAUAGCAACACCUACUCUUCCUUCUGAUGCAGCCUUCCUGGAUCCAUAAUUUGGCUUCCUUGUUUAUUGAUUGCUUGCAAUCGCCACAACACCAUUGAGUGAGCGUCAUAGAAUCCUCAAGGCGUGAAGUAGAAGUUCUUCGAACCUUGAUUGUGUGUGUUCGUGCCCACUCCAAUAGAGCAUUUGGCCCUGUGAGUUCUGACUACGAAAGCUACCUAUGUCAAUCAGUAUAGCCACUAGAGGGAUUGGAACAGGUA
RNAcentral lists this long non-coding RNA (264 nucleotides) under Hordeum vulgare. RNAcentral's name for it is "long non-coding RNA (HVUL_LNC008552)". The record is from RNAcentral. Lineage: Eukaryota; Viridiplantae; Streptophyta; Magnoliopsida; Poales; Poaceae.